This is a long non-coding RNA of Wyeomyia smithii (pitcher-plant mosquito), 3508 nucleotides long. RefSeq lists it as uncharacterized. Lineage: Eukaryota; Metazoa; Arthropoda; Insecta; Diptera; Culicidae. The record is from RefSeq and is a predicted model, not a curated record. The transcript is spliced from 3 exons.
CUGCAGAAUCUAUGCAAAACUGAAAAUACCAGCGAAUCAAUAGAAAUCUGCACAAGGACUCGGCGGCGUUUUGCAGAACAUUCUGCACAUCUGGUAUCACUGCACUCAACGGAAUCCUUCCGUCACGAAGGAAAAUUUAAUAGAGAUUUUUUUCAAUACAACCCAGAGUUUAUAUGUAUGAAAAAUCGAGCAAAGAGAAAAUCUAUCGUUUCGGCAACACAGUUUUUGCGCCGUUUGUUGCCAAGAACUAUACAGUACUGUUUUUCACCAUGCAUAAGCGAAUAUCAUUUUUUGAUAUUCUUCACAAGGUACACAGUUUUGAAAGAUUACACCGGUGAUACUUUGUUAAAUUUUACUGAACCAGUGUACAGGUUGUAGCCGGCCCUGGUCGAUCCCUAAUCAGCGUGCAGCUUAAGCGCCACUCCGUUAGGAGACUGCACGCCACGCUAUGUUUGCCCGGUGAGACUCCCCUAAGGGUCAGUCAAAGUUGCCAUAAAGAAAAGGAAUCAGGAUCGGACCAGAUAGGCUUAUACAUUUAAUGCUCCAAAAGCGGGUAGAAAACCCUUUUAUCAGCCAGCAGAAAUCUUCAACACCUACGUAAACGCGAAGAAAGCUUGCGGUAAGGAAUCACCCAUACCUUGAUGUUAUCAUCACAGGCAAAGUCGCUAUUUGCCGCUAGACGGCGCAAACAUCUCGAACAAUGAGCUUUGCUCGGCAUUCAAAUUCCGCCACGCGGAAGACACAACGAACCGAACUUCACGAAUACGAAUGACGUGAACAUAUUAGAACGUACUAAAUCCUUCCAGUAAACACAUUACAUCAUUUGUUUAACUAAUCAAACCAUUUAUUGGAGACAAAAAGGACAGGCCUAUCUUCUAUUGUUCGUGUGCUUUUUCUCCCUACUGUGCUCGUGGACCCAUGUGCUUUAUAUUUCAAUCAGCUGCUUUAUAAUGAAUCUGCAGUGACGUCACCGGCUUAAGCAAAUGCUUGCACCCGGGUGUUUAAUUCGGUAAGGUGGUGUUCAUAAAAGUGGUUCUAUCAUAUUGCGUGCACGUCAAAUCUGCUCACCUUAUAUUUUGGGACACGGCGGUAGCAUGCUGGUCGCGGCCGACUUAAGUCGGGAAAAUUAAUACAGCAUCUAUAGGGCGUCCUUUACGGAGGCCUCUUUGAUAGAAAGAACGAUACGACUCACCGAGACUGCUGCGACGGUCGCUGUUGUUGCUGCUAUUGGUUGCUUCGCUGGAUACUGCUACGGCUGGCUGCUGAUGAUGAUGUUAGUUGCUUCGCUGGCUACGGCUGGCUGCUGGUGAUGACGAUCACAUGUGGCAACGGGCGUGCGAUCGGUCGGCAAACGCCGACGGGGGAUGAACUGCGGCGGGGAUAAACUCGCUUCCUUAGUGCCGCUUACAGGGAGAUAUCUCGACCUGAAACGGACACUAGCUCACCAGAGGGCUCCGGUCUACAGGAUGUUACACGAUGAUGCGGGUUUUUGGGAACACCGCGUGUCUUCCGACGAUGUAGCGCUGUCGGGAAUUUCGUCCGAUGGGGAAAAAACCAGUGCGCGGUGCGCCUUUCGCUGCCCCUUUCCUCUCGUUCGUCUUGGCUGUCGAAUAAAUUGUGAGUAGCCGGCUGGCUAUUGUACAAAGGGUCAUUAGCACGUGAGCGGGUCAUUGACAUUAUGAAAUGAGCACAUUUACCUAUCUGAAUUUUCUCGCACACUUUAUUGAAUUGGCGAAACUAUUUGCACACGUUAUUCGACUCUAUCUAAUUUUAAAAUAAAGAAAUUUAAUACAACUCUACUAUGUUCACAUUAUAUGACUUACUAUUAGAAACUUAAAGGAAAAACGCGGACAACAGACACACGCGCGACACUUCCGAAAUGCUUGGCGGACUAGGACGAAAUGAACGAGCAAUGUAAGUCCUCAGAUAAGGGAAGGUGAUUCCGUACGACUUACAGGAAAUACGUAAUGUCCCGCCAACUUCUUCGGGUUACUUCGGAAAUCUACGAUGCUUUUGGCUGUUUCAUUUUGGAAUCUUAAUUGGCUCUAUCUGUCCCUUUCCAACCUUUCUUCGAGGUUUCUUUAGAGACUAUCGCGCUAAGUGAGUCUGAACGGGAUUGUGAGCGGCUGACACUUAGAGAGAAAUUAUGCGAUGGGAUUGCGACAAGUGUACCGAAAUAGCUAGCCUACAUCUUGGCGCCAGCAGUUAUGUUGAUUUCGAAGUUACUAAUAAAUGCUACGGCUACAUAACACCACACUUGUUUUACGAAAAUUUGGUUGUUGGAUAACAACCAAAUUUUCGUAAGGGACCUUUUUAUUCCCAUAUGAAAACAAUUUCUUCACAAAAAUAAAACUACAUAGGGUAAACAAUAUACAAUAAUACUAAAGCUAAUCCUUGGUUCACUAACAAAAUCGAAAAUACUGAACAUUUCCAAACAUUUCUGUCGACCAUGUUGGUAUUUAAGUUAUUGCUGUUGAGACUUCAAACUAAAUUAAAAAAAAGUCGAACAUACCGACCAUACAAUUCUCCAUAAUCCCAAUGUGUUUCUUACGACUCACAAAGACAUAAAACACUACAAUAAUCCAUACCUAAAUACGGCUCAUUGGACUUCAGGAUUACUCCAAUCCUAACGUUGGAAAGUAUCCCUACUCCCGAAUUCGCCAACUGGUUUGCCUAUCAUGAGACUCCAAGGCUUUUCCCUGGAAAAUUCUCUUUCUGACAACCCGUACAUACAUCAUGAAACUACAACGAUUCUCACGCCGAUAUUUCGGCUAAAGCGAAUCCUGCAUAAUUUUCCCUCAAACCCUGCAUCGAGUUGAUCUGGUAUAAACAUACAUCAAAUAAUCUUGAUUAACAAAUAUAUCUCCAAAUCCCUCGACGCAAUUAUUUAUUAUAUUUCCACACCGAACCACAUCGGCAACAUGAAAUACAAUUGAAAAUUAAAAUGUGAAAACCCCUAUUAAAGCUCCUCUCGUCUCACGCAUACAACUAACUACCAACACGAAUCAAGAGAAACGUCAAAAUAAUGCUAGAUUGAAUACUGUAAUGUGUGGUGUGCUAACAGGCACUGCAGCGGAUCGGAAUUUAAUGAGACUGAAUUUAUGUCGACUGCAAAACGUAAACAAUGUUUACGUUGCUGAUACGACCGGAUGGAUAAACUGGACGAGCAGUAGCUGCAUCUGCAUUAUCUCACGGCUAGUGGAUGGAUCUGCCAACUAUCCCUCAUUCGUUUGGAAUUUGACGGAGGAAAGUUGACUUCUGGUGAAACAGGUUGGUGUGAACAAUUUCUGAUUGUGUUUUUUUUUCCUUUACUUUCAGGAACAAUCGGAUUGACGGCUAAACCCAAGGAUACAGAUUUUACCCCGACAUCAAAAUUGGCCGCUGGAACGAAAAUUGCCAUAUUUUUAUUUCUAAGUUAAACCCAAAAACCAAACCUCUAAAUAACGAAACUAAAUAAUUUAACAUGAAUAUAAAUAAAUAGCAAAAUAAAUUAAAUAAAUAAAUUUAA